Molecule: ribosomal RNA, 153 nt
Filed under: uncultured Actinomycetes bacterium
Lineage: Bacteria; Bacillati; Actinomycetota; Actinomycetes
Description: uncultured actinobacterium partial 16S ribosomal RNA
Rfam family: Bacterial small subunit ribosomal RNA
Source: RNAcentral
AAAGGUGGUGCGUGGUUGUCCUCAGCUCGUGUUGUGAGAUGUUGGGUUAAGUCCCGCAACGAGCGCACCCCUCGUUCUGUGUUGCCCGCGUAUUAUGGGGGGAGACUCAUGGAGACACUGCCGGGGCUAAUCUGAGAGGAAGGGGGGAGAUUA